GUGCCAGCAGCCGCGGUAAUACGGGGGGUCCUAGCGUUGUUCGGAAUCACUGGGCGUAAAGCGUUUGUAGGUGGCUUUGUAAGUUAAAUGUGAAAGCCUGGGGCCUAACCCCAGAAGUGCAUUUAAUACUGCAGAGCUUGAGUAUGAGAGAGGAAGGUGGAAUACCUGGUGUAGUGGUGAAAUACGUAGAUAUCAGGUGGAACAUCGGCGGCGAAAGCGGCCUUCUGGCUUAAUACUGACACUGAAAAACGAAAGCGUGGGGAUCAAACAGGAUUAGAUACCCUGGUAGUCCACGCCGUAAACGAUGAAUACUUGUUGUUGGAGGUAUUGACCCCUUCAGUGACGUAGCUAACGCGUUAAGUAUUCCGCCUGGGAAGUACGGUCGCAAGAUUAAA
Molecule: ribosomal RNA, 395 nt
Filed under: uncultured bacterium
Lineage: Bacteria
Description: bacterial SSU rRNA
Rfam family: Bacterial small subunit ribosomal RNA
Source: RNAcentral